This is a long non-coding RNA of Monodelphis domestica (gray short-tailed opossum), 2100 nucleotides long. The record is from Ensembl. Lineage: Eukaryota; Metazoa; Chordata; Mammalia; Didelphimorphia; Didelphidae.
GUUCUAAGGCCUCUCCCUGCUCUGACAUCCCCAGUUCUAAGGCCUCUCCCAGGCCUGACAUCCCCUGUUCUAAGGCCUCUCCCUGCUCUGACAUCCCCUGUUCUAAGGCCUCUCCCUGCUCUGACAUCCCCUGUUCUAAGGCCUCUCCUGGCCCUGACAUCCCCUGUUCUAAGGCCUCUCCCGGCACUGACAUCCCCUGUUCUAAGGUCUCUCCCGGCCCUGACAUCCCCUGUUCUAAGGUCUCUCCCGGCCCUGACAUCCCCUGUUCUAAGGUCUCUCCCGGCCCUGACAUCCCCUGUUCUAAGGCCUCUCCCUGCUCUGACAUCCCCUGUUCUAAGGUCUCUCCCGGCCCUGACAUCCCCUGUUCUAAGGUCUCUCCCGGCCCUGACAUCCCCUGUUCUAAGGCCCCUCCCGGCCCUGACAUCCCCUGUUCUAAGGCCUCUCCCAGCCCUGACAUCCCCUGUUCUAAGUUCUCUCCCAGCUCUGACAUCCUCUGUUCUAAGGUCCCUCUCAGCUCUGACAUUCUCUGUUCUAAGGCCCCUCCCUGCUCUGACAUCCCCUGUUCUAAGGCCUCUCCUGGCCCUGACAUCCCCUGUUCUAAGGUCUCUCCCUGCUCUGACAUCCCCUGUUCUAAGGCCUCUCCCGGCCCUGACAUCCCCUGUUCUAAGGCCCCUCCCUGCUCUGACAUCCCCUGUUCUAAGGCCCCUCCCUGCUCUGACAUCCCCUGUUCUAAGGCCCCUCCCUGCUCUGACAUCCCCUGUUCUAAGGCCCCUCCCUGCUCUGACAUCCCCUGUUCUAAGGCCCCUCCCUGCUCUGACAUCCCCUGUUCUAAGGCCUCUCCUGGCCCUGACAUCCCCUGUUCUAAGGCCUCUCCUGGCCCUGACAUCCCCUGUUCUAAGUCCUCUCCCUGCUCUGACAUCCCCUGUUCUAAGUCCUCUCCCUGCUCUGACAUCCCCUGUUCUAAGGCCUCUCCCUGCUCUGACAUCCCCUGUUCUAAGGCCUCUCCUGGCCCUGACAUUCUCUGUUCUAAGGCCCCUCCCUGCUCUGACAUCCCCUGUUCUAAGGCCUCUCCCGGCCCUGACAUCCCCUGUUCUAAGGUCUCUCCCGGCCCUGACAUCCCCUGUUUUAAGCUUGCGUCUCCCUCUCAGUGCUCUGAUGCUGUGGCUGGAAGGCGGUUUCUGGCCGGCCGCGGGCUCCUGGGACAGCGCCGGUGAUCCGGUGAUCCGCUCUGGCUCUGUCCUCCCUCGUGCCUGGGCAAUCCCCUGCGCAGGGUGUGAGGAGGCUUCCUGCACCCAAAGGCCCAAGCAGGGCGCCAGUGCGUGGCCGUCGGGCCACUCUCGCCUUCCGGGGUCACGGCGGUCCGAUGAGCCGCUCUGGGGGGCAGAUAGAGGGGGCGAAGGCCGGGCAGAGGCUGAGCGGGAGUCAGUCCAAGCCGAACAAAGGCUCACCUCCUCUGGUCAGCGCGUGACAAAACAGACAAGACAGCAGCAGCUGGGUGGCUCAGGGGAGAGAGCCCAGCCUGGAGAGGGGGGCAGGCCUGGGUUCCAGCGUGGCCUCAGGCUCUUCCUCACUCCCCUGGGCAAGUGGCUUCGCCCCUGGCCUGGCCUUCCCGCUCUCUGCCUGGGACGAUGCUCCACACUGUCAAAGGCCUCCCUUUUGUCUCAGAGACGCCAAGUACGACUUCCAGGGCCGCAAAGGAAGGGAGGGCUUAAGAACCCCCAGAGAGGUCGGGGCCGCCCAGGGGGAAGAGGUGGGCCUCGUCUGGGGAUCCCCUCUAGCGCCCUUCUGUCCCCCUGCCACCAAGCAAGACCUGCCCGGGGGUGGGAGAGAAACUGCAGAGACCCGGAGGAGCUGCCCCGAGCCUGGGGAGCCCCUGAGCCGGCACCGGGGCGUCGGGAGGCUACCGAGAGAAGACGGCCCAGGAACGGGCGGGAGAGUGGGAGGCCGAGAGGGCCGGAGACAGGCGUGAGUGCGGAGGCUUCUGGGAGAGACGAGCCCAGAGCGGGCAUCCCCCGGCACGGGGCUCCGGGGAUUCCACGUUGGAGCCAGGGAGAUGGAAAAGGGGGCAGGGCCGACGUCUGUUAUAGAUGGGCAAACUGA